RNAcentral lists this ribosomal RNA (509 nucleotides) under uncultured bacterium. RNAcentral's name for it is "partial 16S ribosomal RNA". It matches the Rfam family "Bacterial small subunit ribosomal RNA", at positions 28 to 523 of the family's 1533-position model. The record is from RNAcentral.
GACGAACGCUGGCGGCGUGCUUAACACAUGCAAGUGGUGCGACGAACCAGGCUUCGGCCUGGGGCGAAGCCGCGAACGGGUGAGUAACACGUGGGCAAUCUGCCCCUUUGAUCGGGACAACCCGGGGAAACCCGGGCUAAUACCGAAUGAGGUGGCGACUCAUGAGAGUCGUCACGAAAGGAAGCUUCGGCCUCCGCGAAGGGAUGAGCACGCGGCCCAUUAGCUUGUUGGUGGGGUAAGGGCCUACCAAGGCAACGAUGGGUAGCUGGUCUGAGAGGACGAUCAGCCACACUGGGACUGAGACACGGCCCAGACUCCUACGGGAGGCUGCAGUGGGGAAUCUUGCGCAAUGAGCGACAGCUUGACGCAGCAACGCUGCGUGAGGGAAGAAGGCUUUCGGGUCGUAAACCUCUUUCAGUUAGGACGAAGCUUUAUUGGUUAAUAACCAAUUGGAGUGACGGUACUUUCAGAAGAAGCCCCGGCUAACUACGUGCCAGCAGCCGCGGUAA